GGCAAAUCUCAGACACAACAAGGACAAUGGUUCUGUGAGCAACAAGAAAACUGAAGACUAGGACCUUCUGAACUACUGACUGUGUUGAAACUGACUGCAUUAGUCUGAUGACAAAACAGAAAAACAAACAAGGCCCUCGCUCUCCAUUCAACAGGAUUCUCUCUCUUUUUCAAAGCACUUCUGUAAUGGAGUCAGAGACCUUGCUGUUUGAGGACAAACGUUCCAGACUGGC
Molecule: long non-coding RNA, 232 nt
Organism: Lagopus leucura (white-tailed ptarmigan)
Lineage: Eukaryota; Metazoa; Chordata; Aves; Galliformes; Phasianidae
Exons: 3
Source: RefSeq, a predicted model, not a curated record